RNAcentral lists this transfer RNA (72 nucleotides) under Dipodomys ordii (Ord's kangaroo rat). It matches the Rfam family "tRNA". Rfam says of the family: Transfer RNA (tRNA) molecules are approximately 80 nucleotides in length. Their secondary structure includes four short double-helical elements and three loops (D, anti-codon, and T loops). The record is from Rfam by way of RNAcentral. Lineage: Eukaryota; Metazoa; Chordata; Mammalia; Rodentia; Heteromyidae.
AGGAAAGGAGUAUGGUGGUAAAACAUUUGUCUAGCACACAGAAGGUCUGGGGUUCUAUCCUCUAUGUUUCUA